This is a non-coding RNA of Acanthosepion pharaonis, 114 nucleotides long. NCBI's taxonomy places the organism in Eukaryota, Metazoa, Mollusca, Cephalopoda, Sepiida, Sepiidae. The record is from the annotation of a GenBank genome assembly.
UUACGGCCACAUCACGUUGAAACACCGAUUCCCGUACGAUCACUGAAGUUAAGCCACGUCGAGCCGGGUCAAGUAAGUAGAUGGGUGACCACUUAAGAAUACCAGGUGCUGUAA